GAUGAACGCUGGCGGCGUGCCUAAUACAUGCAAGUCGAGCGAACGGACGAGAAGCUUGCUUUUCUGAUGUUAGCGGCGGACGGGUGAGUAACACGUGGAUAACCUACCUAUAAGACUGGGAUAACUUCGGGAAACCGGAGCUAAUACCGGAUAAUAUUUUGAACCGCAUGGUUCAAAAGUGAAAGACGGUCUUUCUGUCACUUAUAGAUGGAUCCGCGCUGCAUUAGCUAGUUGGUAAGGUAACGGCUUACCAAGGCAACGAUGCAUAGCCGACCUGAGAGGGUGAUCGGCCACACUGGAACUGAGACACGGUCCAGACUCCUACGGGAGGCAGCAGUAGGGAAUCUUACGCAAAGGGCGAAAGCCUGACGGAGCAACGCCGCGUGAGUGAUGAAGGUCUUCGGAUCGUAAAACUCUGUUAUUAGGGAAGAACAUAUGUGUAAGUAACUGUGCACAUCUUGACGGUACCUAAUCAGAAAGCCACGGCUAACUACGUG
Molecule: ribosomal RNA, 497 nt
Filed under: uncultured bacterium
Lineage: Bacteria
Description: partial 16S ribosomal RNA
Rfam family: Bacterial small subunit ribosomal RNA
Source: RNAcentral